AAUGCUCGGCUUUAAAUCAUUAAACUCAAGAGUUUGAUUCUGGCUCAGGACGAACGCUGGCGGCAAGCUUAACACAUGCAAGUCGAACGAGAGAGGAGAAGCUUGCUUUUCUGAUCUAG
This 119-nucleotide ribosomal RNA is filed under the name Clostridiales bacterium. RNAcentral's name for it is "partial 16S ribosomal RNA". The stretch from base 22 to 119 matches the Rfam family "Bacterial small subunit ribosomal RNA", at positions 1 to 95 of the family's 1533-position model. Lineage: Bacteria; Bacillati; Bacillota; Clostridia; Eubacteriales. The record is from RNAcentral.